RNAcentral lists this ribosomal RNA (534 nucleotides) under Triticum aestivum (bread wheat). RNAcentral's name for it is "partial small subunit ribosomal RNA". The record is from RNAcentral. Lineage: Eukaryota; Viridiplantae; Streptophyta; Magnoliopsida; Poales; Poaceae.
AUGGACCAAGACAUUUAUGAAGACGUGCUAGCUCCUGAAAAGAAAAGAUCAAAGGGGAGGCCGAAAACCAAGCGCAUGAAAUCAUCAUCAGAUAUUGGUACAAGAAACAAUAAGAGAAGCUGCUCCAUAUGUGCGUCCGAAGAGCACAGCACAAACUCAUGCCUGUGCAUUGAGGUUCCUGCAGCCGACCCCCAGGGCCCAUAUGCUCUGGACGAUGAUGUAGCAGGGGUGGCGGGGGCAGCUGAACGCAACAUCCUCGCACCAGUGGGGAGCAAUGCAUUUGGGCGAGACGAGGAGGCAGAGCAGAACACAAUAAGCCGUUCAAAUCAGAGAAACAUCAACAACAAACCACCCUCUGCUCCCAGGAAAUGCAAGAACUGCAACCUAACUGGGCACUAUGUGAGCACUUGUCCGAUAUACAAUGGCCCCAGGAAGCCACCCAAAGAAGUCAAAUGCACAAAAUGCAAGCUGGGGGGUCACUACCACACCACUUGCGGCGGUGAUACAACCUACAAGCACAAGCAUGAUCCUUAG